GGCCUCACAUGCAAGUCGAGCGGUAACAUGGUUAGUAGCAAUACUAACUGAUGACGAGCGGCGGACGGGUGAGGAACACGUAGGAACUUGUCCUUUAGAGGGGGAUAACCAAGGGAAACUUUGGCUAAUACCGCAUAAACUCGAGAGAGGAAAGCUGCCUGUAAAGGUGGCACUAGAGGAGAGGCCUGCGUCCGAUUAGCUAGUUGGUAGGGUAAAAGCCUACCAAGGCGAUGAUCGGUAACUGGUCUGAGAGGACGACCAGUCACACUGGGACUGAGACACGGCCCAGACUCCUACGGGAGGCAGCAGUGGGGAAUAUUGGACAAUGGGGGCAACCCUGAUCCAGCGAUGCCGCGUGAGUGAAGAAGGCCUUCGGGUCGUAAAGCUCUUUAGGUUGGGAAGAAGUGUAUGCGGUGAAUAGCCGUGUAUGUUGACGGUACCGACAGAAUA
Molecule: ribosomal RNA, 450 nt
Filed under: uncultured bacterium
Lineage: Bacteria
Description: bacterial SSU rRNA
Rfam family: Bacterial small subunit ribosomal RNA
Source: RNAcentral